ACAUGCAAGUCGAGGGGCAUCAUGAGGUAGCAAUACCUUGAUGGCGACCGGCGCACGGGUGAGUAACACGUAUCCAACCUGCCGAUAACUCGGGGAUAGCCUUUCGAAAGAAAGAUUAAUAUCCGAUAGUAUAUUAAAACCGCAUGGUUUACUAUUAAAGAAUUUCGGUUAUCGAUGGGGAUGCGUUCCAUUAGUUUGUUGGCGGGUAACGGCCCACCAAGGCGACGAUCAGUAGAGGUUCUGAGAGGAAGGUCCCCACAUUGGAACUGAGACACGGUCCAAACUCC
This 287-nucleotide ribosomal RNA is filed under the name uncultured Bacteroides sp. RNAcentral describes it as "partial 16S ribosomal RNA". It matches the Rfam family "Bacterial small subunit ribosomal RNA", at positions 53 to 339 of the family's 1533-position model. The record is from RNAcentral. Lineage: Bacteria; Pseudomonadati; Bacteroidota; Bacteroidia; Bacteroidales; Bacteroidaceae.